AGCGAACGCUGGCGGCAGGCUUAACACAUGCAAGUCGAGCGCCCCGCAAGGGGAGCGGCAGACGGGUGAGUAACACGUGGGAACGUGCCUUUUGGUUCGGAACAACUGAGGGAAACUUCAGCUAAUACCGGAUAAGCCCUUACGGGGAAAGAUUUAUCGCCAAAAGAUCGGCCCGCGCCUGAUUAGCUAGUUGGUGGGGU
Molecule: ribosomal RNA, 200 nt
Filed under: uncultured bacterium
Lineage: Bacteria
Description: partial 16S ribosomal RNA
Rfam family: Bacterial small subunit ribosomal RNA
Source: RNAcentral